This 428-nucleotide ribosomal RNA is filed under the name uncultured bacterium. RNAcentral describes it as "bacterial SSU rRNA". It matches the Rfam family "Bacterial small subunit ribosomal RNA", at positions 64 to 524 of the family's 1533-position model. The record is from RNAcentral.
GAACGAGAAAGUGGAGCAAUCCAUGAGUAAAGUGGCGACCGGGUGAGUAACACGUGACUAACCUGCCCUUGAGUGGGGGAUAACCUCGGGAAACCGGGGCUAAUACCGCAUAACAUCGCAAGAUCAAAGGAGCAAUCCGCUGAAGGAGGGGGUCGCGGCUGAUUAGUUAGUUGGUGAGGUAACGGCUCACCAAGACGAAGAUCAGUAGCCGGCCUGAGAGGGCGCACGGCCACACUGGAACUGAAACACGGUCCAGACUCCUACGGGAGGCAGCAGUGGGGAAUUUUGCGCAAUGGGGGAAACCCUGACGCAGCAACGCCGCGUGGAGGAUGAAGUCCCUUGGGAUGUAAACUCCUUUCGAUCGGGACGAUUAUGACGGUAUCGGAAGAAGAAGCACCGGCUAACUUUGUGCCAGCAGCCGCGGUAAU